CCGACGGUGAGGGAUGAAAGCUGGGGGAGCAAACCGGAUUAGAUACCCGGGUAGUCCCAGCUGUAAACUAUGCAAACUCAGUGAUGCAUUGGCUUGUGGCCAAUGCAGUGCUGCAGGGAAGCCGUUAAGUUUGCCGCCUGGGAAGUACGUACGCAAGUAUGAAACUUAAAGGAAUUGGCGGGGGAGCACCACAAGGGGUGAAGCCUGCGGUUCAAUUGGAGUCAACGCCAGAAAUCUUACCCGGAGAGACAGCAGAAUGAAGGUCAAGCUGAAGACUUUACCAGACAAGCUGAGAGGUGGUGCAUGGCCGUCGCCAGCUCGUGCCGUGAGAUGUCCUGUUAAGUCAGGUAACGAGCGAGAUCCCUGCCUCUAGUUGCCACCAUUACUCUCAGGAGUAGUGGGGCGAAUUAGCGGGACCGCCGCAGUUAAUGCGGAGGAAGGAAGGGGCCACGGCAGGUCAGUAUGCCCCGAAACUCUGGGGCCACACGCGGGCUGCAAUGGUAACGACAAUUGGUUUCGAAUCCGAAAGGAUGAGGUAAUCCUCAAACGUUACCACAGUUAUGACUGAGGGCUGCAACUCGCCCUCACGAAUAUGGAAUCCCUAGUAACUGCGUGUCAUUAUCGCGCAGUGAAUACGUCCCUGCUCCUUGCACACACCGCCCGU
Molecule: ribosomal RNA, 664 nt
Filed under: uncultured archaeon
Lineage: Archaea
Description: bacterial SSU rRNA
Rfam family: Archaeal small subunit ribosomal RNA
Source: RNAcentral